RNAcentral lists this unclassified non-coding RNA (362 nucleotides) under uncultured bacterium. RNAcentral describes it as "contains 16S-23S intergenic spacer region". The record is from RNAcentral.
UCCCUCUUGCGAGGGCAGUCCUGUAUGAGAAAUACAACAUACAGCGAGGGUUGCGCUCGUUGGAGGACUUAACCCAACAUCUCACGACACGAGCUGACGACAACCAUGCAGCACCUCUAGAGCAGUCCGGUAAAGAACAUUGACAUCUCUGCCAACUUCCACUCCAGUUCAAGCCCAGGUAAGGUUCUUCGCGUUGCGUCGAAUUGAACCACAUGCUCCACCGCUUGUGCGGGCCCCCGUCAAUUCCUUUGAGUUUUAAUCUUGCGAUCGUACUCCCCAGGCGGAAUGCUUAAUGCGUUAGCUGCGCCACCGAAGGGCAUGCCCACCGACGGCUAGCAUUCAUCGUUUACGGCGUGGACUAC